RNAcentral lists this ribosomal RNA (492 nucleotides) under uncultured bacterium. RNAcentral describes it as "partial 16S ribosomal RNA". It matches the Rfam family "Bacterial small subunit ribosomal RNA", at positions 29 to 507 of the family's 1533-position model. The record is from RNAcentral.
AGUGAACGCUGGCGGUAGGCCUAACACAUGCAAGUCGAACGGCAGCACAGUAAGAGCUUGCUCUUACGGGUGGCGAGUGGCGGACGGGUGAGGAAUACAUCGGAAUCUACUUUUUCGUGGGGGAUAACGUAGGGAAACUUACGCUAAUACCGCAUAUGACCUACGGGUGAAAGCAGGGGAUCUUCGGACCUUGCGCGAUUGAAUGAGCCGAUGUCGGAUUAGUUAGUUGGCGGGGUAAAGGCCCACCAAGUCGACGAUCCGUAGCUGGUCGGAGAGGAGGAUCAGCCACACGGGAACUGAGACACGGUCCAGGCUCCUACGAGAGGCAGCAGUGGGGAAUAUUGGACAGUGGGCGCAAGCCUGAUCCAGCCAUACCGCGUGGGUGAAGAAGGCCUUCGGUUUGUAAAGCCCUUUUGUUGGGAAAGAAAAGCAGCAGGUUAAUACCCCGCUGUUCUGACGGUACCCAAAGAAUAAGCACCGGCUAACUACGUG